UUCGAUUAGAGUUGAUCAUGGUCAGAUUGAACGCGGCCGCAGGCCUAACACAUGCAAGUCGAGCGGCAGUGGGGGGAGCUUGUUUCCCCCCCGGCGAGCGGCGGACGGUUGAUUAAUGUUUGGAGAUCUGCCCGAUGGAGGGGGAUACCCACUGGAAACGGUGGCUAAUACCGCAUAACCUCUUUGGAGUAAAGUGGGGGACCUUGGGGCCUCACGCCAUCGGAUGAACCCAGAUGGGAUUAGCUAGUAGGUGGGGUAAUGGCUCACCUAGGCGACGAUCCCUAGCUGGUCUGAGAGGAUGACCAGCCACACUGGGACUGAGACACGGCCCAGACUCCUACGGGAGGCAGCAGUGGGGAAUAUUGCACAAUGGGCGCAAGCCUGAUGCAGCCAUGCCGCGUGUAUGAAGAAGGCCUUCGGGUUGUAAAGUACUUCAGCGGGGAGGAAGGCACAGCGUGAAUAGCGUUGUUGAUUGCGUUACCCGCAGAAGA
Molecule: ribosomal RNA, 491 nt
Filed under: uncultured Gammaproteobacteria bacterium
Lineage: Bacteria; Pseudomonadati; Pseudomonadota; Gammaproteobacteria
Description: bacterial SSU rRNA
Rfam family: Bacterial small subunit ribosomal RNA
Source: RNAcentral